Passer montanus (Eurasian tree sparrow) is the source of this 322-nucleotide long non-coding RNA. RefSeq lists it as uncharacterized. The transcript is spliced from 3 exons. Lineage: Eukaryota; Metazoa; Chordata; Aves; Passeriformes; Passeridae. The record is from RefSeq and is a predicted model, not a curated record.
GCGCGGCCCUGCGCACCGCGCUGGCCACGCCCCCGGCCCGCCAGGCCACGCCCCCGCACGGCGGUACCGGAGGUGGUACCGGAGAUGGUGCUGCGGGUGAUACCGGUGAUGGUAACACAGGCGGUACCGGAGGUGGUACCGGAGAUGGUGCUGCGGGUGGUACCGGUGAUGGUAACACAGGUGGUACCGGAGAUGGUGCUGAGGGUGGUACCGGUGAUGGUAACACAGGUGGUACCGGAGGUGGUACCGGAGAUGGUGCUGAGGGUGGUACCGGUGAUGGUAACACAGGUGGUACCGGAGGUGGUACCGGAGGUGGUGCUGC